This 237-nucleotide long non-coding RNA is filed under the name Elaeis guineensis (African oil palm). RNAcentral's name for it is "long non-coding RNA (EGUI_LNC014527)". Lineage: Eukaryota; Viridiplantae; Streptophyta; Magnoliopsida; Arecales; Arecaceae. The record is from RNAcentral.
ACAUUGGAUAUAUAUUGCCAAGACUUAGAGUUCUUGUUAUGAUCCAGGUGGUGUGCCCAAGGCCCAGGAGACCAAGGCUAAGGCCAAGGUCCACCAUUCAUGAGGGCUUCAUGGAGACUCUAGGGCUAGUUGGGCCCUAGGUUGAAAGGCUGUGGGCCUUUCGGGUACUUGAGGUCUAGGUUAUGUGGGCCUCAAGGGACCAACUCUUUAUGGGCCAGGUCUGGGCCCAAGAUAGGU